Molecule: small RNA, 88 nt
Filed under: Aotus nancymaae (Ma's night monkey)
Lineage: Eukaryota; Metazoa; Chordata; Mammalia; Primates; Aotidae
Description: NoRC associated RNA, pRNA (ENSANAG00000003238.1)
Rfam family: NoRC associated RNA, pRNA
Source: Rfam by way of RNAcentral
CGAUGGUGGCCUUUUUGGGGACAGAUGUCCGUGUCGCGCGUUUCUGAGUCGGUGGUGUGGCCGGUGAUUCAAACCCUGACCCCGGGCU